GUAGGGAAUAUUGGACAAUGGGGGCAACCCUGAUCCAGCGACGCCGCGUGAGUGAUGAAGGCCUUCGGGUCGUAAAGCUCUGUUGCAGGGGAAGAACACAAUGACGGUACCCUGCUAGAAAGGAUCGGCUAACUUCGUGCCAGCAGCCGCGGUAAGACGAGGGAUCCUAGCGUUGUUCGGAAUUAUUGGGCGUAAAGCGGGUGCAGGUGGCUUGGUAAGUCAGAUGUGAAAGCCUGGGGCUUAACCCCAGAAGUGCAUUUGAUACUGCUGAGCUUGAGUGCUGGAGAGGCUAUUAGAAUUCCUGGUGUAGUGGUGAAAUACGUAGAUAUCAGGAGGAAUACCGGAGGCGAAGGCGGAUAGCUUGCCAGACACUGACACUCAGACCCGAAAGCGUGGGGAUCAAACAGGAUUAGAAACCCUUGUAGUCC
This 428-nucleotide ribosomal RNA is filed under the name uncultured bacterium. RNAcentral describes it as "bacterial SSU rRNA". It matches the Rfam family "Bacterial small subunit ribosomal RNA", at positions 354 to 796 of the family's 1533-position model. The record is from RNAcentral.